GUGAAUCAUCAAAUUUUUGAACGCAAAUUGCACUCUCCGCUGAUAGUAUGCCUGUUUGAGGUUCAGCCUAUAAAAAUCGACAUCGUUUCGGUUUCUCGGUGGCGUUCUUCUGAAAUUGUGUCAUCUUAAAUCCUUUUGAUUUAUGCGACUUAAAAUUUUCUUUUGGUUCCAUGAACGUUUCUAAGAACUAUGUCUUUACACGUUUAAGGUAUCGAUUUUUACUAGACGUGAUCAUUAUAUCUUAUCUCGGCCUUAAUUUGUGAUU
This 265-nucleotide unclassified non-coding RNA is filed under the name Glomeraceae sp. RNAcentral's name for it is "partial internal transcribed spacer 2". Lineage: Eukaryota; Fungi; Glomeromycota; Glomeromycetes; Glomerales; Glomeraceae. The record is from RNAcentral.